AAAAAGGAGUGGUCUUAGAACCCCCCACCAAAUAUGUCAAGUUGAACCAGAUGAGUUAUGACUGUUAUCCAAACAUAAGGUGGGGCAUUUCAUGAAAAGAAGAGUGCAAGUGUGAAAUGGUUGGGUAAAGCUGAUUUAACUACAUUCCUUCAGAUAGAUGAGGAACACGAAAGAAACAUAACAAUUACCAAUGAGCUAAGAGUGGGGGGAGGUAUAUUUGUUUUGCAUGCUUGUUAAUUGUCGACAUCGAUAAAAUUUUCCCUUGUUUCUUUCUUCUUUUUUUUGCCUGUUUUUCCUUAUUUAAAAACAAGUGCAAAAGGUAAUCGAAG
This is a non-coding RNA of Pelobates cultripes (western spadefoot toad), 329 nucleotides long. The record is from the annotation of a GenBank genome assembly. Lineage: Eukaryota; Metazoa; Chordata; Amphibia; Anura; Pelobatidae.